GUUUGGUGCGUUCGAGUGAAAUAUUUUGAUAAUAUUACCAUUGCAUUUUUGCAUUGCGCUACCCCAUGGACUCAUUAACUACUUUCUUGAGUUUCUUGGACGUCGUCACAUGAAAUAAUAUACGACCGAGCUUGCUCCCGACCAAGCACGAUCAGAUUCCUUGGGAGUUCUUCGGCAGACGAUUUCUAUGCACCGGCUCCAUGAGACGAAGAACAAAACAGCAUGCCACCUGACUGAUGACCCACCCACCGUUUACCCGGCCCCAGGAGCUAGAAGGCCUUGAGACAAAAGCUCGGGCAGGAUUCUGAUGGGCGCAACAGAAUAUCAUCUACGAUGCUUGUCCCACGGCCUGACUGAAUAAUAUUUGUAUAACCAAUGGAAGGAAAAAACAGUAGAACAUUGAAAUUGGCUCGUAGGCAAGACGGAAGAUGGUCAAAACCGGUCAGAAAAUGAUGGCCUAGACACGGUUGGAGAGCUCUUGUUGGCAGAAACCACCUGAAGAUGGUCAGAUGACAUCAGCAACCUUGUGGUGAUACAAUGAACCGGAGCGGCACCGAACUGAAAAAGUUGAAAAACUUGGCAUACAUACUAUGAGACCUAUUUGAUGACUGAUAUAAGCCAAGUUCAGAGUGAUUAUUGUGAUAGUUGAUAACUAAGAAUACCUAAUAUGCUUUUAUGGUGUGUGAAAUAGUAUACUUUUUAUAAUUUAUUAAUUAAAAGUUUAAUAAAUGUUUUACUUACCUAAAGAAAA
Molecule: long non-coding RNA, 751 nt
Organism: Plutella xylostella (diamondback moth)
Lineage: Eukaryota; Metazoa; Arthropoda; Insecta; Lepidoptera; Plutellidae
Source: RefSeq, a predicted model, not a curated record